GUGCGGGUGGUGAUCGAAGGGCUGAAGAUGCGGAGGAGGCCGAGUCGCUAGGCGCUUUCGGGGGCGCUGUGCCGGGGAGGCUUAGUCAAGGGGACCGGGAACCCUGGUUAGAUGCAGCAGCGGCGGCAGCAGCCCUCCCAGGUCCCACUUCCUUGGCGUUCCUGCUGCCCGUGACUCAAGGCAAUUGACUUCCAUCUGAACCCUCAGCUCCGAACGCCUUGCAUUAGAAGCUAGAGCUUUGGAGGUUCUGAGGACGGUCCCUGGGGAGCAAGUGGUAGGUUUCGAGGCGCCUGCUUCCCCUCUGAUUCCUGCAGUUACUGAGGGAGAGUGCGCUAGAAAUGGCUUUGCUGCCGAAUGCAUUAUCUUGCCAUUUUCGUGUCCCAAUACUGAACAAACGAUCGCCUGAUCGAUCGGUAAGAUUAGCUUUAUUCCUUCUCCCUAUUCCUCUCCUUGGCCCAUUCCCUCUGCAAGCCCAAACCCCAAUCUCUCUCUCUCUCUCUCUCUCUCUCUCUCUCUCUCUCUCUCUCUCUCUCUGUCUCCAGGAACUUCUUUUUUCCUCUUUGAAACCGGCUUCCCAAGGGAACUGCCUGUGUGACUGAGAGGCUAGUAAUCUGUUUGUAGAUGAUUUAUAUUUUGGCUGCAGAAUGAAUCCCCCUCCCUACUCGGAGUACUCGCCUUAGAGAAGAUCCCCCGCCCCCUCCCUAUGGGUUCGCUCUCAGAGCUCGGAUCUGUAUAAAGAGCGCUGUGGGAGUCUUUUGCCCUCCGCUCUAGCUCUAUCUUCCUCCGGACCCCGAAGCUUAAGAAUUAUCCGCCUCACUCUCUUUUUUAGAAAUAGGAGGGAAAGGUAGAGUGGAAAUUGAUUUCUUGCAGAGACUGAGGCGCUGAAUGAUAGAGGGAAUAAACAUUUGCCCUGGAUAAAAAUGUUCUUGGCUGUUGUCCAGCUCUAAUGAUGUCCUAGAGCAGAAGUGUUUCUUCUGUUGUCUCAUUUUACCGAGAGGAUGAUGUCUGUGUAUGUCUCUGUGUUUUAGAGAGGCUAACAAAUGCUGCUAAGAGGAUCUGAGGUUCACAUAAAGAGGCUGAAAAUUCGGAAUUACUUUCAUUGCAAAUAAACGUUAACAAUUGUGAGAGUUAGAGAGCAUACUUUUCACAUAAGACUUUGAUAUGCUGCCUAAAGCUACUUACAACAUUUGCUAUUCAGAGAAAUACAUUUGUUUAUUGAGGACCCACCCUGAGUUAAAUUAGAAAAAUGUAACAUUCAGAUUUUUAUUUUAUAUGUGAAAUUAAUGUGUGAUUGCUGUUCUUAAAAAUUUGAAAAAUAAAACAGGAUAACAAAAAUAUUACUUUUGUUACCCAUAGUUCAUGAACUUUAAAACUGUUUACAGCAUUUAAAGUUUAACAAUUUAAGUAUUUGAACACUAUACUAAUUCAUAGGGUUACAUUUGAUCAACUCCUUCAUGAAGCCACAGGCUUAUAUCUCCUAGCUGCCUUUUACCUUCAGAACAUAGCUGGUUUAUACUUAGACUGUUCCAAAAGUUAUGCAUUUUAAUUUUGUGUUGAGAAUGUCUUUCUUAGAUAAUCAUAGUGCAUAUUCGCAGCUAGUACUUCAGUACAUUUUAUAUUAUUGGUAAUGCUUUUGUUAGCCAUUCUGGUGCUGCCUUGUUAUAAGAACUGUGUAUGAGUUCCAACUAAUAUAUUUCUUACCUAUGAACCCACUAAAAUUUCUAAUCAAAAGCAAUAUUCAAGAUAUAUUUUAUUACAGAAAUUGGAAAGCAAUUUGCCUGGGAAGCAAAAUGUUCGUGUGAUUCAGGUGAUUUUAACAUUAAAUCUAA
Non-coding RNA from Chlorocebus sabaeus (green monkey), 1829 nucleotides. Lineage: Eukaryota; Metazoa; Chordata; Mammalia; Primates; Cercopithecidae. The record is from RefSeq and is a predicted model, not a curated record.